Molecule: ribosomal RNA, 305 nt
Filed under: uncultured bacterium
Lineage: Bacteria
Description: bacterial SSU rRNA
Rfam family: Bacterial small subunit ribosomal RNA
Source: RNAcentral
UUUCCUACGGGGGGCAGCAGUGGGGAAUAUUGGGCAAUGGAGGCAACUCUGACCCAGCAACGCCGCGUGAAUGAAGAAGGCCUUCGGGUUGUAAAGUUCUUUAAUUGGGGACGAAGGAAAUGACGGUACCCAAAGAAUAAGCCACGGCUAACUACGUGCCAGCAGCCGCGGUAAUACGUAGGUGGCAAGCGUUGUCCGGAAUGACUGGGCGUAAAGGGAGCGUAGGCGGCGCGGUAAGUUAGGAGUGAAAUCCCGGGGCUCAACCCCGGAACUGCUUUUAAAACUGCCGUGCUUGAGUGAUGGAG